UAAAUGUAGUCAUGCUUUAUUAUUACUAGGGGCCUUCAGGAUUAGUGAGCAUAGCCUGAAAGAGCCAUCUAACUGAAAGGAAAACAGUUCCCAUCCACAUAUGUGUCUGUGCUUUGUAAUCUUCACUUUAAAAAAAAAAAAACCCACUGAAAGGCAGUGUACAGCUCUUUGUUAACUCUAUUGUACACACAAAUUAAAUUCCUAAAAUCUCUUGGCUCAUUAUCUAAAGACUAGACUCUAGAAUAUUAGGUUUACAAUGACUGUGUAAUUUACUAGAUUUGUACAUUUCACUAGACAAUUUAGUUAAUAGCAGUUGUCAUUACACAUUAGUUUACAAAAUUACUGGACAUGAAGCAAACCUGUAUGCUGAACAGCAUUAUCUCUUUAUUUAAGGAGUUGUUAGAUUGCUUGUAAAGAAUGAAAGCUACAAGAGUUUCAAAUGUUAAGUGAACAGUUUCAGGUCAUGAGUAAUUUAAUUUGAGGAUGAUUAAAUAUCAGGUCAACCUGAUUUGCAAUGUAACUUGAUUUUUAAAGAUUAAAAAGAGAAGAAGUAGAAGGGUAGCAUUUUACAUGAAAGGUACCUACAAUGCCAGUGACAUACAAUCAGACAAUCAAGAGUGGUUAUGAAAUUCUUUGCAUAAGGACAAAAGGAAUGAAAAAUGAAGACGAAGCCACUCUGAGCAUCAGCUACAGACCACCUGGACCGGAGAAGGACAAAAAUGAAAAAUUCCAAGACCAGAUUUCAUAGGGCCAGAUUUACUAGUGUUUUUUUUAAACAGAGGUGAGGGAGGAAAAAUCUUGGAUGCCCCCAACCACUUGGUGCCCUAGGCGACCGCCUAGUUCGCCUAGUGGUUGCACGGGCCCUGCACUGAGCAUUUGGUCAAUAAAUGCAGCCAUGCUUCCUACAUCAUGAGUCUUCCUGAGGUAUUUGAAACCAUGGGAAACCAUUCUCAUGAGGGACUUUAUCUAGCCAUCUGUUUCAUAAGAAAUAGAUCCAAACUUGCAUAACAAAGAUGUUCCAAACAUUGCCAGGUAUCUUAUAAUCAGCUCUUGUGCUUGGACACCUACCAGACAAAUCGUACUUGGACCUGAAUCCUAUCAUCAAAUCCAUGGUGUAGGUAUCUGGUAAAGUGCUGAAACCUGGAACUUAGAAUCCAUAGAAUUAUGCUAUAGACAAAAUAUUUUAUGCUGAAUCUGGAUCUGUACCAUAUUAGGGCCAAAUGAUUACUGGAAGGGGACGGGAAGCUGAGCAACAGAGACACUGAACUGUGCUCCUAUGUAUUCAAAGGCUGAACACGUAAUAAAGUAAACAAAUUAUUUGGUCUAGUUAAAACCAAUAAAACUGGGAGAAAUCAGAAAAACUUAAGAAAGGGGGCAUUUUGGCUAAAUAUGAAGAGUUUUUUUGUGACAGUGAAACUAUGGGUAUGACACUCUGCAAUGUAAGUCCAGGCCCGGAUGCAGGCUUGAGCCCAAACCCUCUUUUGUCUACACACAAAUCUCUCGGGCUCAGACCCAGGUCCUAGGACCCUGCAGGGGUGGAGGGUUUGAGCCUAAGCCAAGCCAAGACCCAGGAUUUAAGCUCUAUUGCUUUACUGUGUAGAUGCAGCCUCCUCUGACUUGGUCCUGGGAGUCUGCCAAAAGUAUCCCACAGUUCCAUGCGACAACUUCCUUUGUCCUCUCUGUCCUUAGCAUCUCCAAUCCACUCAAGGGAAACAGACACAAUCCCCAUUGGUGUAAUGCAGCAGCUUGGUAAGUCAGUGUUUAACCCUUCCAUUGUCUUUCCAAUGCCAAGCUACAAACACACCAUGAGAGAGCCUUCUGGGUUUCCAAUGAAGGCUGAACAGAAGAAGACUUUUGCAAAUCAUGCUGCUUCAUGGUCAUGGGAGCACAGCCAGAUUUGGAUAAAACUCUGGUACAAAGCCAGCAAAACCGUGGACUUUAGUCAGAGUACUUGGAAUGACCAUGCAUACUAGCAAAUAGCAAAGAAACUGGCAGCAUUCCAAAUUUACUAGCUUAGUGACCAGUGCAGGGAGCAGAUUAAUCAUCUCAAACCAGAAGUGCACCUUGGGCAACUCACUGGCAUCAUGCCCAUUUUAUGAGGAGUUUGACUGGAAACAGUGAACUGUGGGGAGGGGAAGUAGAAAUGUUUUCCAUUUACUAAUCUAAUCCAUGUCAGUUAGAAGUAGUCCAUGCCAUUCAUAGGUGACAAAACUCUUUGUGUCAGAUUUGACUGGAGUUUGAAAUUUUGUCCAGAAAUGUGGCGGGGGGGAUGGAGGAUGGCUGUGGAGUUCUAUGUGUUUAUGUGCAGCCAUAACAGGCUAAACCAUGUGGAAGAUAAGAAAUCAUCCUAUUGAUUCAUGAAUUCUGACCCAGUUCCAGGUGCUGAUACACCUCUACCCCGAUAUAACGCGACCCGAUAUAACACGAAUUUGGAUAUAACGCAGUAAAGCAGCGUUCCGGCGGAUCAAAGCAAGUUCUAUAUAACGUGGUUUCACCUAUAACGUGACACCACUAAAGAGCUGCAGCCAGUUUAAUGAAAUCUACAACAAAGAAGGAAGCAUUGAGGCAUAGUGCAAGAGCCAGAAAAUGUGGAACUAAGGGAUCUAUUUCAUUUCAUGGAGGAGUAUCCACAGAUCAAGAGGCAUUUACUACAAUGACACUGCUUAUUUAGCAAAAUCAUGGAUUGUCUUUGUAAUUAUUAGAUGGAGCUUAAAGACACAUUGCACAUAUAUUUCAAAAUGCAUGCAACGAUGCUGGAAACUUAUUAAAACUGUUACAAAACUAUAAAUUGUUGUGUUAUUUAAGUGAAAACAUUGUGAGAUGUGAUAUAUUUUAAAGCCUAGGAAGUUUCACAUAAACACAAAGUGAAGCUCUCAAAAGUCUAGCAACACAAAAACGAAGGCUGUAUAUCUGCAUUACAAUAGUAUGGGCCUAUUUUUCUGCUGGUGCUGAGCUGCACCAAAUUUACACCAAGAAACUUGGCGCAUGGUCUUUAAUUACAUAACCACAUACACCUCUACUCUGAUAUAACGCUGUCCUUGGGAGCCAAAAAACGUACCGCGUUAUAGGUGAAACGGUGUUAUAUCGAACUUGCUUUGCUCCGCUGGAGUGCGCAGCCCCGCCCCCGCAGCACUGCUUUACCGCGUUAUAUCCAAAUUUGUGUUAUAUCGGGUCGCGUUAUAUCGGGGUAGAGGUGUAGUAUUUUUAGACAAGAUGGCUACCAACUUUAGUUCCCAAGAGAGCUCCACUUUGCAACCUUCAUGUUCUUUUAAUUUGGAGGAGGGUGAGGGGGAGGUGGUGUAUGGAUUUUAAAAUGUAUCUGCUAUAG
This is a long non-coding RNA of Malaclemys terrapin pileata, 3328 nucleotides long. RefSeq lists it as uncharacterized. The record is from RefSeq and is a predicted model, not a curated record. Lineage: Eukaryota; Metazoa; Chordata; Testudines; Emydidae. The transcript has 3 exons.